UUAUGUGGCUGAGUGGUUUAAAGUAAUCCUCUUGAAAAGGAUCGUGCAUUAAAAAAGCACCGUGGGUUCGAAUCCCACCAUAA
This 83-nucleotide transfer RNA is filed under the name Genlisea aurea. It matches the Rfam family "tRNA". Rfam says of the family: Transfer RNA (tRNA) molecules are approximately 80 nucleotides in length. The record is from Rfam by way of RNAcentral. Lineage: Eukaryota; Viridiplantae; Streptophyta; Magnoliopsida; Lamiales; Lentibulariaceae.